UGGCUCAGUAGGUAGAGCAGGAGACUCCUGAGCUCUGGGUUGUGAGUUUGAGUCCCAC
This 58-nucleotide transfer RNA is filed under the name Mustela putorius furo (domestic ferret). It matches the Rfam family "tRNA", at positions 8 to 63 of the family's 71-position model. Rfam says of the family: Transfer RNA (tRNA) molecules are approximately 80 nucleotides in length. Their secondary structure includes four short double-helical elements and three loops (D, anti-codon, and T loops). The record is from Rfam by way of RNAcentral. Lineage: Eukaryota; Metazoa; Chordata; Mammalia; Carnivora; Mustelidae. RNAcentral also lists the same sequence under 1 other name.